AGGUUUCUGUAGGUGAACCUGCAGAAGGAUCAUUAGUGAAGAUUUGGGCAGGCCAUACGGACGCCAAAAAGUGUCCCUGGCCGCCUACACCCACUAUACAUCCACAAACCCGUGUGCACUGUCUUGGAGAAAGGCUUCAGAGAAGUUUUUUGUGGCCUCUCUUGGGGUCUUUCUUCGCUACAAACUCGAAUGGUUAGUAUGAACGUGGAACUUGGUUGGACCGUCACUGGCCAACAAACUAUACACAACUUUCGACAACGGAUCUCUUGGUUCUCCCAUCGAUGAAGAACGCAGCGAAACGCGAUAGGUAAUGUGAAUUGCAGAAUUCCGUGAAUCAUCGAAUCUUUGAACGCACCUUGCGCUCUAUGGCAAUCCGUAGAGCAUGCCUGUUUGAGUGCCAUGAAAUCUCCCACCCCAAGCGGUUUUUAAAUGAAACGGCUUGGCGGAUGGGGUCUGGAUGGGUGCCUCUGCCUGCGCUACCUAGCACAGGCUCGCCCGAAAUGCAUGAGCGCCUUGAGACACUUUGCAUCCGCCUCUCUGUUUGGGAGGAGGCGGCCAAGCAGUGUUUUUCUCCUGGCAUGGCAUGAUACGUCAUUUGCUAUGUCGCCUAAAGGAGGAAUGUUUGGUUGUGUCUGCGUGUGCUUCGAACUUGCCUCUGUGGCACAUCCCAAUUUCACUUCUGGUCUCAAAUCAGGUAGGAUCACCCGCUGAACUUAAG
This 718-nucleotide ribosomal RNA is filed under the name Malassezia restricta. RNAcentral describes it as "eukaryotic LSU rRNA". The stretch from base 247 to 400 matches the Rfam family "5.8S ribosomal RNA". Lineage: Eukaryota; Fungi; Basidiomycota; Malasseziomycetes; Malasseziales; Malasseziaceae. The record is from RNAcentral.